This 107-nucleotide transfer RNA is filed under the name Coccidioides immitis. RNAcentral's name for it is "tRNA-Phe". It matches the Rfam family "tRNA". From Rfam's summary of the family: Transfer RNA (tRNA) molecules are approximately 80 nucleotides in length. Lineage: Eukaryota; Fungi; Ascomycota; Eurotiomycetes; Onygenales; Onygenaceae. RNAcentral also lists the same sequence under 1 other name. The record is from RNAcentral.
GCGGUUUUAGCUCAGUUGGGAGAGCGCAUGACUGAAGCUUCAACUUCGGUGGUUGAUUAAUCGACUGAAUUAUCAUGAGGUCACCCGUUCGAUCCGGGUAAAUCGCA